UACGGGGGGAGCAAGCGUUGUUCGGAAUUACUGGGCGUAAAGGGCUCGUAGGCGGCCAACUAAGUCACACGUGAAAUCCCCAGGCUUAACCUGGGAACUGCGUGUGAUACUGGAUGGCUUGAAUUCGGGAGAGGGAUGCAGAAUUCCAGGUGUAGCGGUGAAAUGCGUAGAUAUCUGGAGGAAUACCGGUGGCGAAGGCGGCAUCCUGGACCGACAUUGACGCUGAGGAGCGAAAGCUAGGGGAGCAAACGGG
RNAcentral lists this ribosomal RNA (253 nucleotides) under uncultured bacterium. Its description in RNAcentral is "partial 16S ribosomal RNA". It matches the Rfam family "Bacterial small subunit ribosomal RNA", at positions 524 to 776 of the family's 1533-position model. The record is from RNAcentral.